GUGCCUCAAAAAACUAC
RNAcentral lists this ribosomal RNA (17 nucleotides) under Leptasterias aequalis. RNAcentral's name for it is "partial 16S ribosomal RNA". RNAcentral also lists the same sequence under 1 other name. The record is from RNAcentral. Lineage: Eukaryota; Metazoa; Echinodermata; Asteroidea; Forcipulatida; Asteriidae.